AAAGGCGGCUUCGGCUGUCACUUAUGGAUGGACCCGCGUCGCAUUAGCUAGUUGGUGAGGUAACGGCUCACCAAGGCAACGAUGCGUAGCCGACCUGAGAGGGUGAUCGGCCACACUGGGACUGAGACACGGCCCAGACUCCUACGGGAGGCAGCAGUAGGGAAUCUUCCGCAAUGGACGAAAGUCUGACGGAGCAACGCCGCGUGAGUGAUGAAGGCUUUCGGGUCGUAAAACUCUGUUGUUAGGGAAGAACAAGUGCUAGUUGAAUAAGCUGGCACCUUGACGGUACCUAACCAGAAAGCCACGGCUAACUACGUGCCAGCAGCCGCGGUAAUACGUAGGUGGCAAGCGUUAUCCGGAAUUAUUGGGCGUAAAGCGCGCGCAGGUGGUUUCUUAAGUCUGAUGUGAAAGCCCACGGCUCAACCGUGGAGGGUCAUUGGAAACUGGGAGACUUGAGUGCAGAAGAGGAAAGUGGAAUUCCAUGUGUAGCGGUGAAAUGCGUAGACGAUAUGGAGGAACACCAGUGGCGAAGGCGACUUUCCUGGUCUGAACCUACCGUAGGCGAAAGGG
Molecule: ribosomal RNA, 570 nt
Filed under: Bacillus sp. INBio3715B
Lineage: Bacteria; Bacillati; Bacillota; Bacilli; Caryophanales; Bacillaceae
Description: bacterial SSU rRNA
Rfam family: Bacterial small subunit ribosomal RNA
Source: RNAcentral